Small nuclear RNA from Mastomys coucha (southern multimammate mouse), 105 nucleotides. The record is from RefSeq and is a predicted model, not a curated record. Lineage: Eukaryota; Metazoa; Chordata; Mammalia; Rodentia; Muridae.
AUGCUCGAUUUGGCAACAUAUAUACUAAAAUUGGGAUGAUACAGAGACUUAGCAUGGCUCCUGUGCAAGGAUGACAUGCAAAUUCGUGAAGUGUUCCAUAUUUUU